Molecule: transfer RNA, 73 nt
Filed under: Planctomycetota bacterium
Lineage: Bacteria; Pseudomonadati; Planctomycetota
Description: Planctomycetes bacterium (sediment metagenome) tRNA-Lys
Rfam family: tRNA
About the family: Transfer RNA (tRNA) molecules are approximately 80 nucleotides in length. Their secondary structure includes four short double-helical elements and three loops (D, anti-codon, and T loops).
Source: RNAcentral
AGGGUCGUGGUGUAAUCGGCAGCAUUCCGGACUUUUAAUCCGGGAGGUGUGGGUUCGAGUCCCUCCGGCCCUA